Molecule: microRNA precursor, 85 nt
Filed under: Medicago truncatula (barrel medic)
Lineage: Eukaryota; Viridiplantae; Streptophyta; Magnoliopsida; Fabales; Fabaceae
Description: MIR2617 microRNA precursor family
Rfam family: MIR2617 microRNA precursor family
Source: Rfam by way of RNAcentral
AAGAAGUGUGACAUUCCGUUCAUGUGAAUUACUCUGAUUAAAUAAAUAAAAUUUUUACGUUGGGAAAACGGGGUGUUACACUUCU